UGUAUGUAUUUCACAAUUUCAAGGACAUUUUUUUGUAUAUGCAGAAAUAAUGCACCAAAUAUUAUACACUAUAGUAAGCUUGUUUGUGAUUAGUGCACCAUCUCAUGCCGUUGCUAGUCUUUUCAUAAUAUUUCUCAAAGCAUUUUCAUGUGACUUGAUCCUUUCGUGUUUGCAGUGACCACUAUUGGUACCGGUGGAAUUGUUGUAGCAGUGUUGGGGGCUCGCACCAAUUAUGUGACUGUUGUGGUUAUGAAUUUAGCUGCUACUCCUCUCCAGCUAAGUGUUAAGAGAGCAUUCAGUUGUGAAAACCGAUUCUCCUGGUUCUAGAUGGCAUUCAUGCUUAACAGGGAGUCUCCUCCUACCUCCUCUGUUGGCUUGAGAUGUAGGUUUGUGCGGCAGAAUGUUGUCUCCACGGUGCCGGGAAGUGCUGUGGCGGCGAUUGGCUAGAGUGUGGGUGUUGUCGCCUGGAAGUGUUCCAACGGUGAUCGGCGUGUGGGAGUGUCUCUGGCGGCGAUUGGCG
Molecule: long non-coding RNA, 520 nt
Organism: Lolium rigidum
Lineage: Eukaryota; Viridiplantae; Streptophyta; Magnoliopsida; Poales; Poaceae
Exons: 3
Source: RefSeq, a predicted model, not a curated record